GCUACACAUGCAGUCGAGCGAGAAGGGAGCAAUCCCAGUAAAGCGGCGCACGGGUGAGUAACACGUAGAUAAUCUACCUUUGGGUCUGGGAUAACUCUUCGAAAGAAGUGCUAAUACCGGAUAAGCUCACAGGGUCUUCGGACCCAGUGGGAAAAGUAGGCCUCUAUUUAUAAGCUUACACCUGAAGAUGAGUCCGCGGCCCAUCAGCUAGUUGGCGGGGUAAUGGCCCACCAAGGCAACGACGGGUAGCUGGUCUGAGAGGACGAUCAGCCACACUGGAACUGAGACACGGUCCAGACUCCUACGGGAGGCAGCAGUGGGGAAUUUUCCACAAUGGGCGAAAGCCUGAUGGAGCAACGCCGCGUGUGUGAUGAAGGUCUUCGGAUCGUAAAGCACUUUCGACCGGGACGAAAAACCUCUGGCUAACAUCCAGGGGCCUGACGGUACCGGGAGAAGAAGCACCGGCUAACUCUGUGCCAGCAGCCGCGGUAAUACAGAGGGUGCAAGCGUUGUUCGGAAUUAUUGGGCGUAAAGCGCGUGUAGGCGGCUUUGCAAGUCGGGUGUGAAAGCCCACGGCUUAACCGUGGAAGUGCGCCCGAAACUGCAGAGCUUGAGUGUCGGAGAGGAUGGCGGAAUUCCGCAAGUAGAGGUGAAAUUCGUAGAUAUGCGGAGGAACACCGGUGGCGAAGGCGGCCAUCUGGACGACAACUGACGCUGAGACGCGAAAGCGUG
This 732-nucleotide ribosomal RNA is filed under the name uncultured bacterium. RNAcentral's name for it is "bacterial SSU rRNA". It matches the Rfam family "Bacterial small subunit ribosomal RNA", at positions 48 to 763 of the family's 1533-position model. The record is from RNAcentral.